AAUUAUUAAGCUUUGAUAUAGCAUUUGUUUUGAAAACUUAAGAAAGAAAUUUUAUUCUAAUAAUUU
RNAcentral lists this transfer RNA (66 nucleotides) under Lepidostoma inops. Its description in RNAcentral is "tRNA-Ser". The record is from RNAcentral. Lineage: Eukaryota; Metazoa; Arthropoda; Insecta; Trichoptera; Lepidostomatidae.